Molecule: microRNA precursor, 108 nt
Filed under: Mus pahari (shrew mouse)
Lineage: Eukaryota; Metazoa; Chordata; Mammalia; Rodentia; Muridae
Description: miRNA (MGP_PahariEiJ_G0007169.1)
Source: RNAcentral
GAUAUUCAUACCCUGUGAGGAGUCCGGGGCGAGUAGACACCCCAGGUCUCUAGAGAUCUGUGGUGUCCUGUUUCUCCUGGCUCUCCUCUCUCCCAAGGUUUUCUCAUC